UCAAAAAUAGUUUAAUUAAAAUAGUAAUUUUGGGAAUUAUUGAUAUAUUGAAUAAGUAUUUUUUGAA
This 67-nucleotide transfer RNA is filed under the name Xylocopa appendiculata. Its description in RNAcentral is "tRNA-Pro". The record is from RNAcentral. Lineage: Eukaryota; Metazoa; Arthropoda; Insecta; Hymenoptera; Apidae.